Molecule: long non-coding RNA, 3795 nt
Filed under: Canis lupus familiaris (dog)
Lineage: Eukaryota; Metazoa; Chordata; Mammalia; Carnivora; Canidae
Description: lncRNA (ENSCAFG00000052224.1)
Source: RNAcentral
CAUACCUAGAAAUAACCCUAUCAUUCUAAUAUGUUUCCUUUAUCUUUUUUUUCGAUUCAGGUUAAAGGUAUUUUGUGUGUGUAAAUUUAAGAUUACUCUAUAUUUAGAAUUCUAAAUCAUUUAUUAACUAACAUUGUAUAUGAGUAUUUUUCCUGUAUAGUUUUCCUUAAAUAGUUUUCAAAAGUUAGGGUGCCUGGGUGGCUCAGUUAAGAAUCUGCCUUUGGCUCAGGUCAUGAUCUCAGGGUCCUGGGAUAGAGCCCCCAUAGUGGGCUUUCUGCUUAGAAGGGAGUCUGCUUCUCCCUCUCCCUCUGCCCUUCCACCCCACUUGUGUCCACACUCUCUAACUCAAAUAAAUAAACAAAACCUUUAAAAAAUAUAUUCUUCAAAAACAUCAUUUUAAUUUUAAUAGAAAAUAAAUGUACCAUAACUUAUUUUAUGUUCAUUAUUUUGUUUAUAAUGAUAGCUUCAAAGUAAAACAUAUAUCAAAACGUAUCAAAUAUUAUAGAUUUUAAAUAUUCACAGUUACUGAAUGUCAACCAUGCCUCAUAAAGCUGAUAAAAAUAAUUUUUAAACAAUCUCUCAUUGCAUAGGACACCUGGCUGGCUGAGUUGGUAGAGCAUGAGACUCUUGAUCUCAGUUCUCACCCCACAUUGGUUGUAAAGAUUACUUUAAAAAAAUAAAAAAAUAAAACGUUUUUUAAAAAAAUUCUCAGGGCACCUGGGUGGCUCAGUCGGUUAAUCUUAUUCCUGAUUUUGUUCAGGUCAUGAUCUCAGGGUCAUGAGACCAGCCCCAUAUCAGGCUCCGCACUCAGUAGAAUCUGCUUGAGAUUCUCUUUCCCCUUCUCCCUCUGCCCCUUCCCCCACUCACACUCACUCUCUAAAUAAAGAAAUAAAUACUUUUUAAAAAUUACUACAUAAUUUAAAAAAUUAUUACAUAGUAGGUUGGUUCCAUGUUUAGCUAAAAUAAUGUGGUAAAAAAUACAAUUCUCCACUUCAUUUCAAAAGGAAUAUAACUUUGUACACUUAUGGCUUAAUUAUAGAUUUAAUAAACACAUUUUGAUUCUUCCACAGUUCAGAAAUUCUUCUGAAACUUAUUUUACUAAAAUAUCUACUAUGCCACUUAAGUUUAGAACUAAAAAAUAUUUGGGGGUUAAACCAGGCAAAUAUUCAUUGCUAUCACGAUGGCUCACAUUAACUGAAGACUUUCCAUGAGCUAGACAAUGUGUAAGCAUUGUAUAUUACACAACAAUUAUCUUCUCGUUUCCUUCAAUAAAAUUAGGCAAAACAAAGUAAAAAAUGUGAUAAUACUAAGUAAUGAAGUCAGGAGGAAGCUUACCUACAGAAUUCAAAGUCCUUGGAAAUGUUUAGCAUUAUUCCCUAGAUUUCAAGAAGCAAAAUCUCCAGAAAGGCCAGUAAGUAUGAACUAUGUAUUCAUACAAUGAAAUACAACAAAAAGAACUACUGAUACCUGUAAUGAAACCAUGAAUGAUGAACAUCCAAAACACAAUGGUGAGUGAAGAAAGUCAAACACAAAUGAGUAUAUGUUGCAUGAUUCAAUUUAUAUGGAGCCCAAGAAAAGACAAAACUAAUCUAUACCUUUCAGAGUCAGAAAGUGGUUGAUCCCGUAGUGAGGAUGGGGAGAGAAUCAAUUUAAAAAGGUAUGAAGGGGUGCCUGGGUCUCAGUUGUUUAAGUGCCAACUCUCCAUUUCAGCUCAGGUCAUGAUCUCAGGAUCAUGGGAUCCAGCCCUGCGUAGGACUCCAUACUCAGCACAGUCUGCUUGGAAUUUUCUUUCUCCUUCUCCCUCUGGACCUCCCACAAUAAAUAAACAAACAAACAAACAAACUUUUUAAGGGGAUGGGAGCAUGAGGGAACUUCCAGGAAGUGACUACACAGGUGUAUACAGUUGUCAGAACACACAGUAAACAUAUAAAACCAUGUAUUUUAUGAUACAUUACUUAUCCUUAUUAAAGUAAAAUGAAAUAAAAUAAAUCUCUGGGAAUCUAAGGAUUAGCUCUAAAAUCAUUCCAAUCCAAUGCUCAUAUCUUUUGCAUAGCAUGACCCUAUGACAUUUAAUGAAUCCUACUGGAUACAAGGACAACCACCAUCACAUGGUGGCAUAUAACUAAUGAUGAUGCUGAAGAGAAAGAAUUUCCUUUUCACAAUCAAAAAAUAAAAUUAAAUGAGAAAACCCAUUUCAUAUUUAAAUACUCUACUUUUAAAUAAACUAAUAAGAUCAAUAAAAUCCAAUAUAAGGUCAGAAGUAAAAAUGAACAUAAGGUCAAAGAAUCACAGACAGAACCUUCUAAUAUCCCUCUAAAAUCAGCCUAUCGGGGGAUCCCUGGGUGGCUCAGCAGUUUAGUACCUGCCUUUGGCUCAGAGCAUGAUCCAGGAGUCCCAGGAUCGAGUCCCACAUCAGGCUCCCUGCAUAUAUCCUGCUUUUCCCUCUGCCUGUGUCUCUGCCUCUCUCUCUCUCUCUAUCUCUACGUCUUAAAUGAAUAAUAAAUAAAUAAAUAAAUAAAUAAAUAAAUAAAUAAAAACAAACAAACAAACAAACAAAUAAAGUUAGCCUAUCAUGGGGUGCCUGGGUGGUUUGGUCAGUUAAGUGUUCAACUCUUGAUUUUAGCUCAGGUCAUGAGCUCAGGGUUGUGAGAUCGGGCCCUGAGUCAGGCUCUGUGCUCAGCAGGGAGUCUGCUUGAGAUUCUCUCUCUCUCCAUCUCCCUCUGUCCCUCCCAUUGCUAUCUCUCUCUCUCUCUUUCCUCUCUCCCUCUCUCCUGUGAAUGGAUAAAAUCAUUAAUUAAUAAUUAAUUAAAAUUAAAUUAGCCUAUCCUGGUCUACUUUGAAGCAACAUAUUGUGGAGCUAGUUUUCAUAUUCAAAUUGUUUUUCUUCCAUAAACACAGCCGAAGCUGACUCCCUAUAAAUUCCACCCAUUGCAUCUUGUUCUGCCCUAGUUAGCAACCCUCUCUUCCAUGACAGCCCUAGGGAUAUGUGCCAAGAGCAAGCAAAUUUCCUUUAAGUUCCUGUUAUAAUUAGACUACACAAUUCCCUCAACUCUUCCUCAUUAUAGCACAUCUUUUAAGUUACUUUACCUUGCUAUUUUUAAAGUAUAGUUUCAUUCAUCCAUCCCUCUAUUCAUCCAUACUUCUAUGUGACAUUUAAAACAAAAAGAAAAGGAGCCCUGUUGGUGAUGAUCACAGCCAAUGUAUUCCCCAAAGUGUAAUAUGAAGGAUGAAGACAGAAUCAGCCAGGAUUCUCCCAUUGACUACCAAGAGAGGUGGUAGAUACAACUCAACACAUAAAGCAGACAGUGGGAGAGAGAUUUCAGAAGCAUGACUCUGGUGGUCUCACUGGAAGCUUCCUCAGCAAAGCCAGGCUUCCAAAGCCUUCCCCUCCUGACCUCUUCUUUGAGUAAUGCAGCACUCUGCAGAACAAUCUGAUGGUCCCAGGGCUUGUGUGGGAGAACACCUGUGAGACUAUCCAGCUUCUAAGAAACAGUUGACCAAUAUGGGUUAUACGUGGAGAGAAAAACUUAACCAAUUCAAAUAUAAAAUGUGCCUCUUCCAUAAAAAGGACAUUAUCAGUCCUUGAAUAAGAAAUGUAUCAUAUGCGGGAUCCCUGGGUGGCGCAGCGGUUUGGCGCCUGCCUUUGGCCCGGGGCGUGAUCCUGGAGACCCAGGAUCAAAUCCCACGUCAGGCUCCCAGUGCAUGGAGCCUGCUUCUCCCUCUGCCUAUGUCUCUGCCUCUCUCUCUCUCUCUAUCAUAAAUAAAUAAAAAUUUAAAAAAAAAAAAAAAAAAAAA